GUGGGGAAUCUUGCACAAUGGGGGAAACCCUGAUGCAGCGACGCCGCGUGAGCGAUGAAGCCCUUCGGGGUGUAAAGCUCUUUCGACGGGAACGAUAAUGACGGUACCCGGAGAAGAAGCUGCGGCUAACUACGUGCCAGCAGCCGCGGUAAUACGUAGGCAGCAAACGUUGUUCGGAAUUACUGGGCGUAAAGAGUGUGUAGGCGGUUGGGUAAGUUUGGUGUGAAAUCUCCCGGCUUAACUGGGAGGGUGCGCCGAAAACUGCCUGGCUUGAGUACUGGAGAGGAUAGCGGAAUUCCUGGUGUAGCGGUGAAAUGCGUAGAUAUCAGGAGGAACACCUGCGGUGUAGACGGCUAUCUGGACAGUAACUGACGCUGAGACACGAAAGCGUGGGGAGCAAACAGGAUUAGAUACCCGAGUAGUCC
RNAcentral lists this ribosomal RNA (425 nucleotides) under uncultured bacterium. RNAcentral's name for it is "bacterial SSU rRNA". It matches the Rfam family "Bacterial small subunit ribosomal RNA", at positions 354 to 796 of the family's 1533-position model. The record is from RNAcentral.